This 468-nucleotide ribosomal RNA is filed under the name uncultured bacterium. RNAcentral's name for it is "partial 16S ribosomal RNA". It matches the Rfam family "Bacterial small subunit ribosomal RNA", at positions 28 to 507 of the family's 1533-position model. The record is from RNAcentral.
GACGAACGCUGGCGGCGUGCUUAACACAUGCAAGUCGAACGGAAAGGCCCUGCUUUUGUGGGGUGCUCGAGUGGCGAACGGGUGAGUAACACGUGAGUAACCUGCCCUUGACUGUGGGAUAACUUCAGGAAACUGUAGCUAAUACCGCAUAGGAGCUCAUGCUGCAUGAUAGUGGUUGGAAAGUUUCGGCGGUUGGGGUUGGAGUCGCGGCUUCUUUGCUUGUAGGUGGGGUAGUGGCGUACAAAGGCGUUGACGGGUAGCCGGCCUGGGAGGGUGACCGGCCCCAUUGGGCCGGGGGUAGGGGCAGGAGGGAUACGGGAGGCAGCGGUGGGGAAUAGUGCACAAUGGGCGGAAGCCUGAUGCAGCAACGUCGGGUGGGGGAUGACGGCUGUCGGGUUGUAAACCGCUUUCGCCUGUGACGAAGCGUGAGUGACGGUAACGGGUAAAGAAGCACCGGCUAACUACGUG